RNAcentral lists this ribosomal RNA (273 nucleotides) under uncultured bacterium. RNAcentral's name for it is "partial 16S ribosomal RNA". It matches the Rfam family "Bacterial small subunit ribosomal RNA", at positions 523 to 796 of the family's 1533-position model. The record is from RNAcentral.
AUACGGAGGGUGCAAGCGUUAUCCGGAAUCAUUGGGUUUAAAGGGUCCGUAGGCGGGCUAUAAGUCAGAGGUGAAAUCCCACAGCUCAACUGUGGAACUGCCUUUGAUACUGAUAGUCUUGAGUUACAGUGAAGUAGAUAGAAUAUGUAGUGUAGCGGUGAAAUGCAUAGAUAUUACAUAGAAUACCGAUUGCGAAGGCAGUCUACUAACUGUAUACUGACGCUGAUGGACGAAAGCGUGGGGAGCGAACAGGAUUAGAAACCCUAGUAGUCC